UGGGGAAUAUUGGACAAUGGGGGGAACCCUGAUCCAGCCAUGCCGCGUGUGUGAAGAAGGUCUUCGGAUUGUAAAGCACUUUAAGUUGGGAGGAAGGGCAGUAAGCGAAUACCUUGCUGUUUUGACGUUACCGACAGAAUAAGCACCGGCUAACUCUGUGCCAGCAGCCGCGGUAAUACAGAGGGUGCAAGCGUUAAUCGGAAUUACUGGGCGUAAAGCGCGCGUAGGUGGUUCGUUAAGUUGAAUGUGAAAGCCCCGGGCUCAACCUGGGAACUGCAUCCAAAACGGGCGAGCUAGAGUAGGGCAGAGGGUGGUGGAAUUUCCUGUGUAGCGGUGAAAUGCGUAGAUAUAGGAAGGAACACCAGUGGCGAAGGCGACCACCUGGGCUCAUACUGACACUGAGGUGCGAAAGCGUGGGGAGCAAACAGG
This 429-nucleotide ribosomal RNA is filed under the name Pseudomonadota bacterium. Its description in RNAcentral is "Proteobacteria bacterium partial 16S ribosomal RNA". It matches the Rfam family "Bacterial small subunit ribosomal RNA", at positions 355 to 776 of the family's 1533-position model. The record is from RNAcentral. Lineage: Bacteria; Pseudomonadati; Pseudomonadota.